GAUUAUCACCGAUAAAACCAUCGUGAUGGCAGGUUCAGUUACCGAUAACUUCUCAACCCGCGAAACGUCUGGCGUGAUCCGUGGUUUUGAUGUCAACACCGGGGAGCUGCUGUKGUGCCCUUGAGGCGUGGCUUCCGGAGCUAACGCGUUAAGUCGACCGCCUGGGGAGUACGGCCGCAAGGUUAAAACUCAAAUGAAUUGACGGGGGCCCGCACAAGCGGUGGAGCAUGUGGUUUAAUUCGAUGCAACGCGAAGAACCUUACCUGGUCUUGACAUCCACAGAACUUUCCAGAGAUGGAUUGGUGCCUUCGGGAACUGUGAGACAGGUGCUGCAUGGCUGUCGUCAGCUCGUGUUGUGAAAUGUUGGGUUAAGUCCCGCAACUAGCGCAACCCUUAUCCUUUGUUGCCAGCGGUCCGGCCGGGAACUCAAAGGAGACUGCCAGUGAUAAACUGGAGGAAGGUGGGGAUGACGUCAAGUCAUCAUGGCCCUUACGACCAGGGCUACACACGUGCUACAAUGGCGCAUACAAAGAGAAGCGACCUCGCGAGAGCAAGCGGACCUCAUAAAGUGCGUCGUAGUCCGGAUUGGAGUCUGCAACUCGACUCCAUGAAGUCGGAAUCGCUAGUAAUCGUGGAUCAGAAUGCCACGGUGAAUACGUUCCCGGGCCUUGUACACACCGCCCGUCACACCAUGGGAGUGGGUUGCAAAAGAAGUAGGUAGCUUAACCUUCGGGAGGGCGCUUACCACUUUGUGAUUCAUGACUGGGGUGAAGUCGUAACAAGGUAACCGUAGGGGAACCUGCGGUUG
Molecule: ribosomal RNA, 808 nt
Filed under: Escherichia coli
Lineage: Bacteria; Pseudomonadati; Pseudomonadota; Gammaproteobacteria; Enterobacterales; Enterobacteriaceae
Description: bacterial SSU rRNA
Source: RNAcentral